UACGUAGGGGGCAAGCGUUGUCCGGAAUUACUGGGCGUAAAGGGCGCGUAGGCGGUCAGCACAAGUCAGUUGUGAAAUCUCCGGGCUUAACUCGGAAAGGUCAACUGAUACUGUGCGACUAGAGUGCAGAAGGGGCAACUGGAAUUCUCGGUGUAGCGGUGAAAUGCGUAGAUAUCGAGAGGAACACCUGCGGCGAAGGCGGGUUGCUGGGCUGACACUGACGCUGAUGCGCGAAAGCCAGGGGAGCGAACGGG
Molecule: ribosomal RNA, 254 nt
Filed under: uncultured bacterium
Lineage: Bacteria
Description: partial 16S ribosomal RNA
Rfam family: Bacterial small subunit ribosomal RNA
Source: RNAcentral